RNAcentral lists this transfer RNA (90 nucleotides) under Desulfobacterales bacterium. Its description in RNAcentral is "tRNA-Ser". It matches the Rfam family "tRNA". From Rfam's summary of the family: Transfer RNA (tRNA) molecules are approximately 80 nucleotides in length. Their secondary structure includes four short double-helical elements and three loops (D, anti-codon, and T loops). Lineage: Bacteria; Pseudomonadati; Thermodesulfobacteriota; Desulfobacteria; Desulfobacterales. The record is from RNAcentral.
GGAAGGGUGGCUGAGUGGUUGAAAGCGGCGGCCUCGAAAGCCGUUGAAGGUGCAUGCCUUCCGCGAGUUCGAAUCUCGCCCCUUCCGCCA